This 1056-nucleotide long non-coding RNA is filed under the name Nicotiana benthamiana. RNAcentral describes it as "long non-coding RNA (NBEN_LNC032147)". The record is from RNAcentral. Lineage: Eukaryota; Viridiplantae; Streptophyta; Magnoliopsida; Solanales; Solanaceae.
GACAUUUCACUAAAAAACUUCGUGAUUUUAAUAUAUUACAAUAUGUUUACCUUGAAAAUGGUAAUUACAAUUAGAUUUGAUUUUGUAGUUCUAUAAAUACGUGAUCGAUUUUUAUGCUAGUUAUUAGGUAAUAGAUGCUAAGUGUGAGACUAGAAAAAAAUAUAAGAAAUCAAAAAUAGUAUGUUUAAGCUAAUUCAGUGGCUGAGAAUCGGGGCCUCGAGCCUGGUUAUACGGAGUCUCGAGGUCGAGCUCGGUAACAAGUUAUGGGCAGGUGGUAGAGGACUAACAACUUUGGGAGCCUUGAUGAAGGCUUUUUAUGAUCAAAUGAGCAAUAAAUGAAGAACGAUUCAUAGAACACAAUAAAUAUAAUAGUGAAAUCAAGAGAAGAUGUUUAAGUUAGAGAGUAGAGAAUUUUCUUGUAUGGAAUGUUGUGAGUAAUGUUAUAUUUUCUCUUAUCCGUCCUUACAAGUGCAUUUAUUGAAAAGAUAUAUGGCUGGUACAACCAUUUAAUACCACGGUACGGGCUUAAACUAGCUUAAUAAAUUUGGCCAGCUUUAGUCAUGUGCCUUGGGAAUCUCCCACUCGUUCAUCAUUGCCGUCAGUUUACUCUGCCGGGAGUUCAAGCAUAUAGGACCGUUGGGGUCGAGCCCCGAGCUAAACUUCGAGCAUUUUGGGAGCGGUAUUUAUGACGUGCAUCAACAGUCACAAAAUCGAACCUUCUGAUAUUAGCCAUGUACAGAUAGUUCCCGUGUUUCUUAGAUUAAAAUGAUAAGAAAUGAUUUUGACAAUUAUCCCCUCGAGCCUCUUGUGAUGACAUCAUGCUUAUGACGUAAGAUUUUGUGAUAACUGAGAUGUCCUAUCGAUACACAAAAGGUGUUCUGUCGUUUUCCUUAUCUCCUGUUGAAGGUACUUCGAGGGAUGUUCGAGGCCAGGGGUAGCCUAAGCCACGUGAGUUGUCGAGUAAUUAUAUUCCCAUCGGGAGUGUUUCUACUGGGGUCAAUGAGACCAUGCUAGUAGAUGUGCGCUCAACCUUUGAGGAGGCUCAGAUACUUAAUU